CUCAGCUUCGCUUGGAAAUCUGUCAUCCAAUCCAAGUUGAUUAUAUCAGUGCUCGAAAGCGUAUGAAAUCUCUUGAGAGUAUAAUGAUUAGUUUUCUGAUGAAAUACGUACGUGGAGCACGUAGAGUGUACGUAAUAUGGAACAGUAAAAUCAUCAUGAAAAUCAACAGUAAGUAAUACUGUUACUCGUGACACGGAAUUACACGUAUUAACACGUCAAAGAUUA
Molecule: long non-coding RNA, 225 nt
Organism: Bombus impatiens (common eastern bumble bee)
Lineage: Eukaryota; Metazoa; Arthropoda; Insecta; Hymenoptera; Apidae
Exons: 2
Source: RefSeq, a predicted model, not a curated record